Molecule: ribosomal RNA, 253 nt
Filed under: uncultured bacterium
Lineage: Bacteria
Description: partial 16S ribosomal RNA
Rfam family: Bacterial small subunit ribosomal RNA
Source: RNAcentral
UACGAAGGGGGCUAGCGUUGUUCGGAAUUACUGGGCGUAAAGCGCACGUAGGCGGAUCGAUCAGUCAGGGGUGAAAUCCCAGGGCUCAACCCUGGAACUGCCUUUGAUACUGUCGAUCUGGAGUAUGGAAGAGGUGAGUGGAAUUCCGAGUGUAGAGGUGAAAUUCGUAGAUAUUCGGAGGAACACCAGUGGCGAAGGCGGCUCACUGGUCCAUUACUGACGCUGAGGCACGAAGGUCAGGGGAGCAAACGGG